This 463-nucleotide ribosomal RNA is filed under the name uncultured bacterium. RNAcentral describes it as "bacterial SSU rRNA". It matches the Rfam family "Bacterial small subunit ribosomal RNA", at positions 331 to 792 of the family's 1533-position model. The record is from RNAcentral.
GCAGACUCCUACGGGAGGCAGCAGUGAGGAAUAUUGGUCAAUGGCCGAGAGGCUGAACCAGCCAAGUCGCGUGAGGGAAGACGGCCCUACGGGUGGUAAACCUCUUUUGUCGGGGAGCAAAGCGAACCACGUGUGGGUCAUUGAGAGUACCAGAAGAAAAAGCAUCGGCUAACUCCGUGCCAGCAGCCGCGGUAAUACGGAGGAUGCGAGCGUUAUCCGGAUUUAUUGGGUUUAAAGGGUGCGCAGGCGGAGGUGCAAGUCAGCGGUCAAAUUGCGGGGCUCAACCCCGUACUGCCGUUGAAACUUCAUCCCUUGAGUGCGCGAGAAGUAUGCGGACUGCGUGGUGUAGCGGUGAAAUGCAUAGCUAUCCCGCAGAACUCCGAUUGCGAAGGCAGCAUACCGGCGCGCAACUGACGCUCAUGCACGAAAGCGUGGGUAUCGAACAGGAUUAGAUACCCUAGUU